GUGUGUUAAAGAUGGGGGAUUAUUUCAGCUGAUGACAGACAUUUAAUAUCACUACACGCCUCCGGAAGGUUUUCCUCCGCUGUCAGCUCUAACGGACAGAGAGGGUGUUAACUAGAACUGUAUAGAAAGUCAGAUGGAGUAUUGCAACAGAAAUAACUCAAUAACACGUGAAAUCCCAUCCGCAAGGCCGCGGGGUGUAUAAUCUAGAACAUUAAUUUAUCACUAUAUAAACAGUCGAUGACGGGAGAGUAUUUCAGCAGACGACAGCAAACCACAGCAGACCUCUGACACGUCAUUACCAAGGAAAGGAAAGCAGAGCCGACUCUGACACGUUACAACACAGGACAGGACAACAUACCUCUGACACGUUAUCAAUACAUAAAUAAACGAGACAACUUUGUCAUGGAGAUUCGAAAGAUCGCUGAUGCCGGUGGAGACGUCAUGAUCUAUAAGUUCUAUGAUGGCGUUUAUUUCCCGGUAAAAGUUCCGGGAGAUGCAAAAGAGCACAUUGAGUCUGUUAUAGACAUGAAGUACAAAAAAGGAGAUGUACUACUUGCAACUUAUCCGAAGUCUGGGACGCACUGGACAUAUGAAAUAUUAUCUAUGUUGCUAAACGGGAAAGCAGAAUACUGCCAGAAACACCCGUUAUCCUUCGAUCAUGACACUCAAGAGGAACACGACAAAUUGGAAUCGCCUCGUCUGCUUGUUACACAUUUCUACCCAAAACACCUACCCCGGGAUUUCCUAGAAAACAGGGGCAAGAUCUUCUACGUUUAUCGGAAUCCCAAAGACACAGCUGUGUCAUUUUACGCUUUUAUUAAGCGUCUGAAUAUGCAAGGACACCUCUACAAUGGAAAAUGGCAGAACUUUAUAGAACUUUACAUGCAGGGCAAAGUGGCUUACAAUUCUUGGUGUGAGCAUGUCAGUGCUUGGGUUGACUUCCAGAAGAGGAACCCUGACUAUCCUCUACUGCUCAUCUCGUACGAGGACAUGAAGAAGGACCUGAGACGCAGCGUACAGUCGAUUGCUGAACAUUUAGGUACGGGAGCGGACCCUGCCUUAUUAGACGACAUUGCAAGUAAAUGCGAAUUCAAAGAGAUGUUCAAAGAGAAAACGGCGAACACAACAGAGACGGAAAAACAGAUGACCUUGGACGGAAGCAACCCAUUUUACAGAAAAGGCGACGUUGGUGAUUGGAAGAAUUGGUUCACAGAAGCACAGAACGAACAAUUCGACAUGACGGUUAAGAAGGACGUGGAGGACAUAGACCUACCCGUUGUGUAUACAUUAAAGUGAAAACAACAUCGUAUGAAAGAAGGGCGAACGCUAAUGAGUUUACAGUGCGAGAUCACUGUGUUACAAGCACCUCUCGUGGUCACUAGCCAUACCUCACGUGGUCACUAGCCAUGUGAAUCACUAUUACGGCGUGCACAUUAAGUAGAUAGUUUAGUCUGACACGGUGAGUGUUUGCGUCCCGUAUUAUAUGUAAUGUAAACAUGGUUUAAGGAUGUCAUGUGUACUGGUAGUGACCUUUGGUAAUCCUAAAAUAUACGAAUGAGGCAACUGCUAAAAAUGUGUAGUGCGACGACAAAAACCAAACAAAGUUAAUUACGGUAGUUAUUGCACCAUAUGGUCGGCUCGUCCCUACAGGACUCGUUUGUGAUAGAUACGUACAGAGACAGGAGAAAGGUGGGCUCCAAACCCUUUGUAACGUUACAACAGGUAACUAUCGAUACAGCAGACACUAUAACCUUAAACUUCUGCAAUAUUCUUUAUGUCAACUGUGAAAGAAUAAAUUCCAAGGAUCAACGUUUUAUUUUUUAUAGCAAUUAUGAAAUAUAUAUGUAUAUUUAUACUUAUAUUCAUCAUUCUUGUUUGCCUUGUUGCCAGGUGACCCCAUACCUUUUCACGUCCGAUCGGUUAAUUGAACCCCGGCCGUCUUGUUGAAUUAUAAAUGAAUCUUUUUUUCUUUUUUUUUUAUCUCAUAUUUGUUUGUUAUCCUUUACAUAAGGCGUCAGGGGCUGGGGUUCCUGUGGUUCAGCACAGUGCAAAAUUAAAUAUAACAAGAUAAAAAUCAAAUAUAUCACAGGUCCGUAGAUUAAUAAGUUGACAUUGCAGUUACACAAAAUAAGUAAAAAAUCUCAUCCAAAAGCAUAAGUUAUCUACUGCGCCCCCUGACCACCCUGUGUUCUGAAAGUUGAAAUGUAUCAAACGGUUGUAAAACGUCUAACUUCAGUAAUUCUAGUAUUCUUGAGACCGCUACUGCUUUCUAACAUCAAAACUCAGUUUAACUUAGACGGUGUCAUCUCUAGCAGCCUCUGUGUGAGGUGUAGACGGUGUCAUCUCUAGCAGCCUCGGUGUGAGGUGUAGACGGUGUCAUCACUAGCAGCCUCUGUGUGAGAUGAGACGGUGUCAUCUCUAGCAGCCUCUGUGUGAGGUGUAGACGGUGUCAUCACAAGCAGCCUCUAUGUGAGGUGUAGACGGUGUCAUCUCUAGCAUCCUCUGUGUGAGGUGUAGACGGUGUCAUCACUAGCAGCCUCUGUGUGAGGUGUAGCCGGUGUCAUCUCUAGCAGCCUCUGUGUGAGGAGUAGACGGUGUCAUCACUAGCAGCCUCUGUGUGAGGUGAUGCUAAUACAACUAAGUAUUUACCAUCGUUUUAGCGGAAUGGGUGUGAUAGCUCCGAUUCUCAGGUCAGUCCGGUGUAAUUAUAUAAGAUUUUAUCGUUACGUUUAUUAUAUGGUAAAUAACGUUUGCAAUUUUGAAAAGUGGUUUUAUAAGUAAAUAAUGAUUACAGUUGAUGGAGAAAGAAGUAUGUAGACACCAUGGUUGUACUAAACUUAAUAGGAGUGUUCCCACCAAUACCAUACAGAGCUGUAAAUAAAACAAAUGGACAUUUUCAAGUAUUACGCUUGUAGUGAAUAAAUA
Mizuhopecten yessoensis (Yesso scallop) is the source of this 2925-nucleotide RNA transcript. It is a transcript of the gene named sulfotransferase family cytosolic 1B member 1-like, with no coding region annotated. NCBI's taxonomy places the organism in Eukaryota, Metazoa, Mollusca, Bivalvia, Pectinida, Pectinidae. The transcript is spliced from 8 exons. The record is from RefSeq and is a predicted model, not a curated record.